UACAGAGGUCCCAAGCGUUGUUCGGAUUCAUUGGGCGUAAAGGGUGCGUAGGCGGCGCGGUAAGUCGGGUGUGAAAUCUCGGGGCUUAACUCCGAAACUGCAUUCGAUACUGCCGUGCUUGAGGACUGGAGAGGAGACUGGAAUUUACGGUGUAGCGGUGAAAUGCGUAGAUAUCUGGAGGAACACCGGUGGCGAAGGCGGCAUCCUGGACCGACACUGACGCUGAGGAGCGAAAGCCAGGGGAGCAAACGGG
Molecule: ribosomal RNA, 253 nt
Filed under: uncultured bacterium
Lineage: Bacteria
Description: partial 16S ribosomal RNA
Rfam family: Bacterial small subunit ribosomal RNA
Source: RNAcentral